GUCCAAUGACAAAAAUAUGCCCAUUUCUUGUCCAGCAUUUAGUGAUGCCAAAUUGUUGCCGAGCAGCCAAAAAAACCUCAUGUCUGCUCUUGGUAAGAAAUUCGGAGAGAGUGAUCCCCGUACCCUUCAGAUUGAUUUUGGAUGACCAAAUGUGCUCCUUGUCGGACAGGUUGCGGAGUUUGAUGAGAAUUGGUCGUGGCUUGUUCUCCUUGGGGCUUCCUAGCCUGUGACAUCGACUCACUCCAUUGAUGGACAAAUUUGGUAACUUUAAAUUGGUGGAUAGAAUAUUCAAGAUUGUCACAUAACUUAUACAGACAGUCAACCUGAGUCUGAAGGCAUUGCAGUGAGGUGAUAACAAAGGAUCGGAAAGCUGUAAAGUCAGAUGCCAACCUAGUCGGAGGACUGGCCAAUGAAGUGGUAGUGGAAGUUUUUUUGAGAUCCUCUUGGAAUUCCAGCAUUCUUUUAUUAAACAUUUCGGACAUCUGUGCCAUAGAUUCCUUGAUAGAAUGUAAAUCCAUAUUGUCAUUCAUUCUUAAGAUUAAAAAGUGCAGUCAAGUGAGGUUAGGAAUGACAAAGUAAAAUAGAAAGUGAAGAAUUGAUUUUGGAUAAUAGUUUUAGUGUUAUUUUUGUAGGAGAAUGAUCCGGCAAGUACGUAGGUAACUUAAAACAUAAUUUAUUAAACUUUUUAAAUUAAAUACCAAUAAAAUAGCGUGGAGCAAAU
Colias croceus (clouded yellow) is the source of this 721-nucleotide long non-coding RNA. RefSeq lists it as uncharacterized. The record is from RefSeq and is a predicted model, not a curated record. The transcript has 2 exons. NCBI's taxonomy places the organism in Eukaryota, Metazoa, Arthropoda, Insecta, Lepidoptera, Pieridae.